UACAGAGGAUGCAAGCGUUAUCCGGAAUGAUUGGGCGUAAAGCGUCUGUAGGUGGCUUUUAAGUCCGCCGUCAAAUCCCAGGGCUCAACUCUGGACAGGCGGUGGAAACUACCAAGCUGGAGUACGGUAGGGCAGAGGGAAUUUCCGGUGGAGCGGUGAAAUGCGUAGAGAUCGGAAAGAACACCAACGGCGAAAGCACUCUGCUGGCCGACACUGACACUGAGAGACGAAGCUAGGGAGCGAAUGG
RNAcentral lists this ribosomal RNA (247 nucleotides) under uncultured bacterium. RNAcentral describes it as "partial 16S ribosomal RNA". It matches the Rfam family "Bacterial small subunit ribosomal RNA", at positions 524 to 775 of the family's 1533-position model. The record is from RNAcentral.